RNAcentral lists this ribosomal RNA (353 nucleotides) under uncultured bacterium. RNAcentral's name for it is "bacterial SSU rRNA". It matches the Rfam family "Bacterial small subunit ribosomal RNA", at positions 8 to 350 of the family's 1533-position model. The record is from RNAcentral.
AGAGUUUGAUCAUGGCUCAGGAUGAACGCUAGCUACAGGCUUAACACAUGCAAGUCGAGGGGCAGCGGGAUUGAAGCUUGCUUCAAUUGCCGGCGACCGGCGCACGGGUGAGUAACGCGUAUCCAACCUUCCGUACACUCAGGGAUAGCCUUUCGAAAGAAAGAUUAAUACCUGAUGGUAUGAUGAAAUUGCACGAUAGCAUCAUUAAAGAUUUAUCGGUGUACGAUGGGGAUGCGUUCCAUUAGGUAGUAGGCGGGGUAACGGCCACCUAGCCUACGAUGGAUAGGGGUUCUGGAGAGGAAGGUCCCCCANAUUGGAACUGGAGACACGGUCCAAACGUCCUACGGGAGGCA